GAAAGCUGAAGGAUGACUUCAGCUGUCCUUCAGCAAUUCGUAGGUGACAUGGGAUGGAGGUUCUGCGAGCCAUCCUGUGACUUGCUGGAAGAAAUUGCCUAGAAGGAAUUCGAGGACAGCAUCUGCUUUGCGUGUUGAGGAGAUUUAUUCGGUGACUUGAAGUGUUGUAGUGAGGUGAAGUGCUAAAGUGUGUACACCUUUAAAUUAUAUUUUUGUGUGUUAAGUGAAACCAAGAAACCUCCUCCAAAAUGGCUGCCUUUAUAGCCAAACAGAUGAUGGGCAGCCAGCUCAAUGCAGUUAAAGGUGAGAACUCGCUCUCCGCGCACUGUAUUAGAAGAGGA
Molecule: long non-coding RNA, 341 nt
Organism: Macrobrachium nipponense
Lineage: Eukaryota; Metazoa; Arthropoda; Malacostraca; Decapoda; Palaemonidae
Exons: 3
Source: RefSeq, a predicted model, not a curated record